Molecule: ribosomal RNA, 408 nt
Filed under: Triticum aestivum (bread wheat)
Lineage: Eukaryota; Viridiplantae; Streptophyta; Magnoliopsida; Poales; Poaceae
Description: partial small subunit ribosomal RNA
Source: RNAcentral
AUGCGACGCCCAACAUGGAGUGGCUCUCUUUCGUACAAGUCUGGUGAGUUUGGUUUAGCCUAUGUGGGCGAUGACACAUGUUAUCGUGUUGCUGGAGUAGGUGACAUCAAAAUCAAGAUUUUUGACGGAGUUGAGCGGAUGCUUCGGGGAGUCAGGCAUGUGCCAGGGCUAAGGAGGAAUCUAAUUUCGCUUGGUGUUCUUCAUGAUGGUGGUAUGGAAUUCCGUUGUGAUCGGAAUACGAAGACCAUGAAAAUUAUGGAAGAUGGGGUGACUGUGAUGAUAGGAGAGAGGACGGCUUCGCCUCUCACGGUGGCGGCGGGUCUGACCCGUCGGGUAGCUCUCAGUAAGCUACAAAGGAGACAACCCAAGUCCGGAGUACAUGGAGGUUCGAGCAUGGACGAUUUUUAA